RNAcentral lists this ribosomal RNA (549 nucleotides) under Escherichia coli. RNAcentral describes it as "partial 23S ribosomal RNA". It matches the Rfam family "Bacterial large subunit ribosomal RNA", at positions 1273 to 1807 of the family's 2925-position model. The record is from RNAcentral. Lineage: Bacteria; Pseudomonadati; Pseudomonadota; Gammaproteobacteria; Enterobacterales; Enterobacteriaceae.
CUGGAGGUAUCAGAAGUGCGAAUGCUGACAUAAGUAACGAUAAAGCGGGUGAAAAGCCCGCUCGCCGGAAGACCAAGGGUUCCUGUCCAACGUUAAUCGGGGCAGGGUGAGUCGACCCCUAAGGCGAGGCCGAAAGGCGUAGUCGAUGGGAAACAGGUUAAUAUUCCUGUACUUGGUGUUACUGCGAAGGGGGGACGGAGAAGGCUAUGUUGGCCGGGCGACGGUUGUCCCGGUUUAAGCGUGUAGGCUGGUUUUCCAGGCAAAUCCGGAAAAUCAAGGCUGAGGCGUGAUGACGAGGCACUACGGUGCUGAAGCAACAAAUGCCCUGCUUCCAGGAAAAGCCUCUAAGCAUCAGGUAACAUCAAAUCGUACCCCAAACCGACACAGGUGGUCAGGUAGAGAAUACCAAGGCGCUUGAGAGAACUCGGGUGAAGGAACUAGGCAAAAUGGUGCCGUAACUUCGGGAGAAGGCACGCUGAUAUGUAGGUGAAGCGACUUGCUCGUGGAGCUGAAAUCAGUCGAAGAUACCAGCUGGCUGCAACUGUUUAU